AAGAGGAUGGAGUUGACGAUCACAUUCUGAAGCCGCUGUCUCUUUUUACAUUGAGCUUGCUCCAGGAUAGUUGUUCUGGUGUUGGCAAAAGGAUGCACUGCCAAUAUAAGGAUGAGGGUUUUGCUUUGUAAGAAUCCUAAACCCUAAAACCUGGAUCUUCAAGGGCUACAUAGAAUCCAACUUGGCUGAUACUUGUUUUCCAUAGAUGCAGCGACGUUCAUUCAUAGUUUGAUCGUUCUGAUGUUGGAUUUGCUGUGUAGGAAGUGCAGAUAAAAUGUGAUGGAAUUUUUUUAAAUAGAAUCGGUGAAUACCGAUCUUUACCUUUCAAGGUUUUGAGGCUGCGCUUGAGACACGCAUCGGCAUUGUUUUGUUGAAUCAUACAACACUCUUCAGGAUCUGCUGUUCAUGUGGUUAUUCUUGGUGUAUCAAGAUCUAUGCGGAAAAAAAUUGUACACUUGAAUAUUGAUUACAAGAAAUUCAUAAAGUGGUUCAAAAAAUAAAUUCAAAAAGUUUAUUCAUGGUUGUGUUAUAAGAUUAAAUUUUUGAUUAAUUGAGUUUUUUUCACUUUCGCCGUUGUAUGAACGGUUUUCACCUUAA
Molecule: long non-coding RNA, 597 nt
Filed under: Physcomitrium patens
Lineage: Eukaryota; Viridiplantae; Streptophyta; Bryopsida; Funariales; Funariaceae
Description: long non-coding RNA (PPAT_LNC013434)
Source: RNAcentral